CAGCCGUAAACUAUGCGCGUUAGGUGUAUCGGUGACCACGAGUCACCGAGGUGCCGAAGGGAAACCGUGAAACGUGCCGCCUGGGAAGUACGGUCGCAAGGCUGAAACUUAAAGGAAUUGGCGGGGGAGCACCACAACAGGUGGAGCCUGCGGUUUAAUUGGACUCAACGCCGGGAAGCUCACCGGAUAGGACAGCGGAAUGAUUGCCGGGCUGAAGACUCUGCAUGACUAGCUGAGAGGAGGUGCAUGGCGUAGACGU
Molecule: ribosomal RNA, 259 nt
Filed under: uncultured archaeon
Lineage: Archaea
Description: partial 16S ribosomal RNA
Rfam family: Archaeal small subunit ribosomal RNA
Source: RNAcentral